GGGAUAGAUCGUAGGAUAGCGUA
RNAcentral lists this non-coding RNA (23 nucleotides) under Cricetulus griseus (Chinese hamster). The record is from RNAcentral. Lineage: Eukaryota; Metazoa; Chordata; Mammalia; Rodentia; Cricetidae.